AGCACACCCAGACUGUGUAGAAUUAAACUGAUGGUGCUAUAUGAUCGAUAUAGCCUACAAGGUUCCAAAUCUCCAUAAAACACCCUGAAGUCCUUUCAGGGUCACGGUGGGGCCGGUGCCAAUCUCCAGCCGUCUAUGAGCAAGUGUCGGGGUACAUCCUGGACAGGUCGCCGGGCUUAAUAUUUGCUCUUCUGCCUGAGAGGCUUUGAUGAGAACUGCAGCUGAUCUGGACUGAUGUGUUCAGCAGACGACUGGAUAAGAAAGCCAAAUCCAAAGAGCCUCUGAGCAUCAGUUCAGACCUCUUUAGUGUGCGCUCUUGGCUCUCUGUGUCAGGAUGACA
Long non-coding RNA from Cyprinodon tularosa, 340 nucleotides. RefSeq lists it as uncharacterized. The transcript has 3 exons. The record is from RefSeq and is a predicted model, not a curated record. Lineage: Eukaryota; Metazoa; Chordata; Actinopteri; Cyprinodontiformes; Cyprinodontidae.